Molecule: long non-coding RNA, 792 nt
Organism: Bubalus bubalis (water buffalo)
Lineage: Eukaryota; Metazoa; Chordata; Mammalia; Artiodactyla; Bovidae
Exons: 3
Source: RefSeq, a predicted model, not a curated record
UUUAGUUUCAGAGCGCCGGCUCUAGGCGCCUGGGCUUCAGUAGCUGCGGGUCCCGGGCUCUAGAGCACAGACUCACUGGUUGUGGCACAGGCUCUUAGUUUCUCCGAGGCACGUGGGAUCCUUCUGGAUCAGGGAUUGAACCUGUGUCAUCUGCAUUCACAGGCGGAUUCCUUGCUGCUGAGCCACAAGGGAAGCCCAUGGACUAGUCUUAAGGCUAUGGCAAGGAGCCUAUUUUUUUUGGCCGGACCAUGCGGCAUGCAGGAUCAUAUAGUUCCCCAACCAGGGAUUGAACCCAAGCCACCAGAAGUCCUAACCUAGCCAUUGGAGUCCUAACCACUGGACACCAGGGCAGUCCCUCACCUUCUCACCUGAUGCCCACCUGGGCCCGUACUGUGCUCAGCCCACACUUCAUCUUAGGAUCACCUGGGGAGCUGUAAACCUAUCUCCCACACUAGGCUGCAGCCGGGUCCUCUGACAUCAGAAGCUGGGGUGAGGCCCAGGUGGGAGCCUGUGUGGAGGACUAGCAUUUGUUGAAAGAAAGGAUGGGGUAAGGCGGCUCUGACCCUGAGCUCGAGUCCCAGCUGUGGCCCUUCCUGGAUGCCAUCUAAGGCUUAUCCUCAGCGUGGUGGCAUCUGGCUGACUCCCAGAAUAUCCAUUCCCUCCUUGUCCCUGGAUCUUCAUUCCCAGACCAAGGAUCAAACCCAUAUCUCCAUCAGUGAAAGUGUGGAGUCCUAACCACAGGACCACCAGGGAAAUCCCUGAAGGCUGCUACUUUUAUGGUCCAAACCGGUG